Parus major (Great Tit) is the source of this 404-nucleotide long non-coding RNA. RefSeq lists it as uncharacterized. NCBI's taxonomy places the organism in Eukaryota, Metazoa, Chordata, Aves, Passeriformes, Paridae. The transcript is spliced from 2 exons. The record is from RefSeq and is a predicted model, not a curated record.
UAUUCAGUUUCAGUUUCACCUGGCUUAGGGUCACGGCAUUCUUGUGACUCAGGCACCUGAAUCAGAUCCUACGGUGCUGUCUUUUGGGGUCCCACCCCGAGGUCCAGUGGUUGCCUCAGUUUUCAUAACGGGUCUGGCUUCAUUCACAGAAUUCUUCCUGGUCAUGCCAAUUAUCCUGACACCGAGAAACUGAGGCUUGGAUUUAUCCUGUGGCUUUGUGAGUAGUUAAGUGAUAUUUCUUGCCAUCCUGAGCGCUACGCCAAAUUGUCACGGACGGGUGUGUUCGAGAGUGCUUAAAAAAUCACUGGCAAAGGUAUGAGAAAAAGUCAGAUUUAAUAUUAACCAACAAAGCACAACAGGUUCGUUGGCAAGAUUCUCUCACAGCUAGGGCACAACAAGGGAAA